UACGUAGGUGGCGAGCGUUGUCCGGAUUUACUGGGCGUAAAGGGCUUGUAGGCGGUCCGUUAAGUCCGAUGUGAAAUCUCCCGGCUCAACUGGGAGAGGUCAUUGGAUACUGGCGGACUAGAGGGGGGUAGAGGAAAGCAGAAUUCCUGGUGUAGCGGUGAAAUGCGUAGAUAUCAGGAGGAACACCAGUGGCGAAGGCGACUCACUGGACAUGUAUUGACGCUGAGGUGCGAAAGCGUGGGGAGCAAACAGG
This 253-nucleotide ribosomal RNA is filed under the name uncultured bacterium. Its description in RNAcentral is "partial 16S ribosomal RNA". It matches the Rfam family "Bacterial small subunit ribosomal RNA", at positions 524 to 776 of the family's 1533-position model. The record is from RNAcentral.